CCUACGUGUGGCUGCAGUGGGGAAUAUUGGGCAAUGGGCGCAAGCCUGACCCAGCAACGCCGCGUGAAGGAAGACGGCUUUCGGAUUGUAAAAUUCUUUUAGGAGGGCAGAGCAGAAGACGGUACCUCUUGAAUAAGCCACGGCUAACUACGUGCCAGCAGCCGCGGUAAUACGUAGGUGGCAAGCGUUGUCCGGAUUUACUGGGUGUAAAGGGCGUGCAGCCGGGAAGACAAGUCAGGUGUGAAAUCCCGGGGCUCAACCGCGGAACUGCAUUUGAUACUGUUUUGCUUGAGUACCGGAGAGGUCAUCGGAAUGUCUGGUGUAGCGGUGAAAUGCGUAGAUAUAAGGCACAACACCAGUGGCGAAGGCGGAUGACUGGACGGCAACUGACGGUGAGGCGCGAAAGCGUGGGGAGCAAACAGGAUUAGAUACCCGAGUAGUC
This 442-nucleotide ribosomal RNA is filed under the name uncultured bacterium. Its description in RNAcentral is "partial 16S ribosomal RNA". It matches the Rfam family "Bacterial small subunit ribosomal RNA", at positions 338 to 795 of the family's 1533-position model. The record is from RNAcentral.